This is a long non-coding RNA of Pan troglodytes (chimpanzee), 1906 nucleotides long. RefSeq lists it as uncharacterized. The record is from RefSeq and is a predicted model, not a curated record. NCBI's taxonomy places the organism in Eukaryota, Metazoa, Chordata, Mammalia, Primates, Hominidae. The transcript has 5 exons.
GGGGCUUAAAAGCAGGCUGAGAUAUCUCUGAGAGUGGAAGGAAUUCUGCCUGGGGACAGCACCUUCAGCCUUUGCCUGAGAGCUGCAACCUGUCCUGGGUGAUGGCCUGCCCUUUGGAUUUAAGACUUGCUUAGCCAGUCCCACAAUCUUGCCGUGGAAGAACUUGCCGAUGGAGGGACCACAGAAGGAUCUAUGGGAGAACAACGGGAACUGCAGGAGAGCAACAAUGGCCAUGAGGGAUUCAAGGAUUAUGCGUCUCUGCACCCUACAAUACACCGACUGGCAGUUUCAUCAUUUGAAAGAAAAUCUUCAAGGUAAAGACAUUUACAAUGACACAAAAGCCUUUCAAAGGCAUCAUGGUCCUAAAGGGCUUUCCCCAAGGGACAGCACAGUGUGUUCCAGGCCCUGACAAGAGGUUUAAGACCUGUGACACAGUCUGAAGCUCUCCUGGCAUACUCUGAAGCUCUCCUGGCACCCUCCCCUUUAUGCUUCACAGGUGUUUCUCCUAAUAAAUUUCUUGUAUGUCUCAUCCCAUCUGGGAAUCUGCUUCUCAGAAGACUCAAACUAACAUAUCUGCCCACUAUGUAUCAGGCACUGUGCUAGGUGCUGGAGACCUAAAAAUGGAUAAAACAGACAAGAGCCCUUCAUUCAUGGUGCUUGCAUCAUAGUGGGGGUAAAUAUUCCAUAAGCAAGAGAAUAAAUAGAUAAGAUAAAUUUAAAAACUAGAUAAUGACUUGUUAUAAAUUGAUUGGUAAUCAGGGAAGGUCUUCUGAGGAGAUGACACUUAAGCUGACACCUGAAUGAGAAGAAGGGGCUGGUCAGCUGAAGACCUAGAUGAGAGUAUUGUAGGCAGAGGGAAGAGCAAAGACCACAGGUUGAGAAAGAAACUAGUUUGACAUAUUUGAUGGGGGAAAAGCCAGUUUGAAGAAUAAUAAAAAAGGGAAUGAAUGGAAUAAACAAGGACAUUAAAGAACUAGAGAGGAGCCUGAUCAUCACAGUAAGGCAUUUAGAGUAGGUUAGGGAGAAGACCAUUCUCUAUCAGGGUAGAACUGAAAAGGCUACGUCUGCUGCUAAAUGCUGCUAUAAAAAGACAAGGGCUUUCAUAUACUACAGAUGCAAUCUUUUGGAUCCACUUAUAUUGAGCAGACUUCGUGGACCCUCCUAAGAAAGUAGGCACCACAAAAAUAUUACAUCUAUACAAAAUGCAGGGCUCCAAGCCAUAGAUGUAUAUAUCACAUUGUGUGUGUGUGUGUGUGUGUGUGUGUGUGUGUGUGUGUGUGUGUCUGUAAAGCCAGCCAGUUUGUAAGCUGAACAUGACUCCCACAUGCUUUCAGAGAGAAGAGAAAAGAGAGAGGAUCGUGUACUGGAAUAAGCCCUAAGAACUUCUUGGAAGAAGGGGAAGUUAGCUGAUCAAAAUUAUGUUGCUUUCUAGAAAAGAAGUAAAAAGCCAGGCAGUUUCUUUUGCUAAAACUGUCUGGGUAGAUUUCCAUUCUAAGAAAAUUACAACAAUGUAUAGUUUUAAAUAGCUAGAAGGAGAAUACUGAAUGUUCCCAACACAAAGAAGUGAUAAAUAUUUGAAAUGAUGGAUAUAUUCAUAGUCCUUAUCUGAUUGCUAUACAUAAUAUGUAUUGAAACAUCAUUAUGUACCCCAUGAAUAUGUGCAAUUAUUAUAAUUCAAUUUAAAAAAUAAAAUUAAACAAAGAAAGCAAGGGGUCAACAGCAUCCAUUGUAAAUGUGCUACCUCUCCACCUGUCUCAUUUAUGAAGUUGGGGGAGCUCCUGAACAGAUAACGAAGUGCAAUGAAAUUUGGAGAAGAAAUCUAGUACCUAGGUCUAGAGAGCAGAUGUGCAACUUCUUUGGAGAAUAUGUUUCAGAUAAAGCUUCAAGAGCUGUUCCUAGUAGCAUA